Molecule: long non-coding RNA, 548 nt
Organism: Panicum virgatum (switchgrass)
Lineage: Eukaryota; Viridiplantae; Streptophyta; Magnoliopsida; Poales; Poaceae
Exons: 4
Source: RefSeq, a predicted model, not a curated record
CCAGCGUGUUCUGCCACAAUCCACACUAUGGUUAUGAGCUCACCACCCCGUCCAAGCUGCCUGGCAUGGGACUCCCUGGUGCAUCGGAUGGACGCAUAGAGCAGCUUAUCCACCCAGACAUCAAAAAUGAGCUCCACUACAUCCUUCACUUGCUUUGCUUUCACAUCUUGCAGCGCAAUGGCAAGUCGAGCUGCAUCCGAGAUGAGACCUUGGAUGGUAACGUCGCACAGCCUGAGGAGGGAAGGGUCUGGUACCAUGUGCGGGCGCAACAUGACGAGGAACAUCAGUGUACUUGGUGGGAACCAAUGCAUGAUCUUGCACUGGUUUGAUUCAUCAAACAGAGCACUGCAAUGCGCUUGGUGGAAGCAAUACAUGAUUUGCGAAAAAAAUGAAGUGAUGCAUAUUGUGCUGAAUCAACAUGGCAGUUUACCAGACCUUUUGAUGCUCCACACAUAUGUUCUUUGUAUCAUGCAAGUACGUGGUAUUGUGUGAUUGUAGAAAUUCUUAAAAAUUGUAGCCCUUCUCAAUAUUGUAACCUCUUUUGCUGU